RNAcentral lists this ribosomal RNA (987 nucleotides) under Triticum aestivum (bread wheat). RNAcentral describes it as "partial small subunit ribosomal RNA". Lineage: Eukaryota; Viridiplantae; Streptophyta; Magnoliopsida; Poales; Poaceae. The record is from RNAcentral.
AUGGCCAGGGGGUCUUUCUCCAUGGGAGUGGUGGCCGCGGCGGCCGUGCUGGUGGUGCUGUGCGCCGCCGUGUCGGCCGCAGCGCAGCCUCGUCCCCCACUGCCGAAGAACUCCCACAUGAUCACCCCUGGGCGAUUCGGGAAGAGGAAGCAGGUGCUCUCCUGCGACAACCCCAAGGACGGUUACAGCCCCUGCGUCGCCACCUGCGACAGCCGCUGCCCCAACGAGUGCAUCGUCAUGUGCCCAGGCUGCAAGACCUACUGCUUGUGUGACUUCUACCCUGGUGUAUCCUGCGGUGACCCCCGCUUCACGGGGGCCGACGGCAACAACUUCUACUUCCAUGGCAAGAAGGACCAGGACUUCUGUGUCCUCUCCGAUGCUGACCUCCACAUCAACGCUCACUUCAUCGGCAAGCGCAACCCCACCAUGAGCCGUGACUUCACAUGGAUCCAGGCUCUGGGCAUCCGCUUCGCUGACCACCGCCUCUACAUGGGUGCCCAGAAGACCACCAAGUGGAACAACGAUGUCGACCGCCUCGAGUUGACCUUCGACGGGGAAUCGAUCAACAUUAAUGCUGAUAUUGGCGCAAAAUGGCAGUCCACCAACGUUCCUGGCCUCACAGUCAUGAGGACCACCGUCACCAAUGGCGUGAGGGUCCAACUUAAGGGUGUGUUCGACAUCAUGGCUAAGGUGGUGCCCAUUACAGAGGAGGACUCCCGCGUCCACAACUAUGGUGUGACGGACGACGACACACUCGCACAUUUGGACAUCGGGUUCAAGUUUUUCGACCUCACCAACGAUGUUCACGGUGUCCUCGGCCAGACCUACCGCUCUGACUACAUCAACAAGCUCAGCGUGAGCGCCAGCAUGCCUGUGAUGGGUGGCGUAGCCAGCUACGUCUCCUCCGACAUCUUCGCCACCGACUGCAAGGUUGCUAGGUUCGGUCAUAACGCUGGCAUCUCCAUGGUCACCACCAGGGCCAACUAA